UAUCAACACUAGUUUAUGCUAGUUUAUACUGUAUGAUUAUACAGAUUAAUAGGCAGAACAAAACAAAAAAGGUGAUUUCUACAGUCAUCGUUGCCGAUUCAGCAUCAGUAGGCAGAUCAACAAACGAAGGCAAUAGAGGAGGGGGAACCUGUUCCCUUUUAUAAUUCCUAAUUGCAUUGCCUUCCCACGGUCCGAAAAAGGUCAGUGGACGUGGUAAAAUUGACCAGAUGGAAAUCAACAAAUAGCCUUCGUUACAAUCAAUUUCGCUAGCGAGAGAGAGGAGGGAAAAGGGGGACGGAAUGAAAAUACUUUCCAACAGCAAGGCUGAGAAGGGUAGCCAUACACAAAACACAAUGUUUGUAAUAUUAGUCACAUCAUCUGAACAGCACGUAGGGGAAAAGACAGCGAGAAAACAAGUGCGGAUCUGCUCUAAUUCACAGACCACUCUUGUGGGAUUUCUGUCUUCUUCUAUAACGGUGCCACAAGCAGAAGACGGAGAUGAAGUAGCAGUCACCUGUCAUAUCCCUUGGUGGAUCCAGCUUUUGACUGAGCAGUGCUAACCAUUAUUUUGAAGUGCUUGUAGUGAUAUUUUCUAUAUCAGCAGCUCUACUUGUAACAGAUAGAUCAGAUAACCA
Long non-coding RNA from Podarcis raffonei (Aeolian wall lizard), 635 nucleotides. RefSeq lists it as uncharacterized. NCBI's taxonomy places the organism in Eukaryota, Metazoa, Chordata, Lepidosauria, Squamata, Lacertidae. The record is from RefSeq and is a predicted model, not a curated record. The transcript is spliced from 2 exons.